CCCUUAGAUGUUUUGGGCCGCACGCGCGCUACACUGACGAAUGCAACGAGCUUAUAACCUUGGCCGAAAGGUCUGGGUAAUCUCCAAAUUUCGUCGUGAUGGGGAUAGAUUAUUGCAAUUAUUAAUCUUCAACGAGGAAUGCCUAGUAAGCGCAAGUCAUCAGCUUGCGUUGAUUACGUCCCUGCCCUUUGUACACACCGCCCGUCGCUCCUACCGAUUGAAUGGUCCGGUGAAGCGUUCGGACCGUGGCCUUUGGACGGUUCGCCGUCUGUUGGCUGCGGGAAGUUCGUUAAACCUUAUCAUUUAGAGGAAGGAGAANUCGUAACA
Molecule: ribosomal RNA, 327 nt
Filed under: uncultured eukaryote
Lineage: Eukaryota
Description: partial 18S ribosomal RNA
Rfam family: Eukaryotic small subunit ribosomal RNA
Source: RNAcentral